Molecule: ribosomal RNA, 859 nt
Filed under: Anomoloma eurasiaticum
Lineage: Eukaryota; Fungi; Basidiomycota; Agaricomycetes; Amylocorticiales; Amylocorticiaceae
Description: partial large subunit ribosomal RNA
Rfam family: Eukaryotic large subunit ribosomal RNA
Source: RNAcentral
CCCCUAGUAACUGCGAGUGAAGCGGGAAAAGCUCAAAUUUAAAAUCUGGCGGUCUUUGGCCGUCCGAGUUGUAAUCUGGAGAAGCGUUUUCCGCGUCGGACCGUGUAUAAGUUCUCCUGGAAUGGAGCGUCAUAGAGGGUGAGAAUCCCGUCUUUGACACGGACCACCGAUGCUUUUGUGAUGCGCUCUCAAAGAGUCGAGUUGUUUGGGAAUGCAGCUCAAAAUGGGUGGUAAAUUCCAUCUAAAGCUAAAUAUAGGCGAGAGACCGAUAGCGAACAAGUACCGUGAGGGAAAGAUGAAAAGCACUUUGGAAAGAGAGUUAAACAGUACGUGAAAUUGUUGAAAGGGAAACGCUUGAAGUCAGUCGCGUUGUCCGGGGAUCAACCUUGCUUUGGCUUGGUGUAUUUCCUGGUUAACGGGUCAGCAUCAAUUUUGAUCGUUGGAUAAAGUCUAGUCGAAUGUGGCAUCCCUCGGGGUGUGUUAUAGCUUCUAGUCGCAUACAACGGUUGGGAUUGAGGAACUCAGCACGCCUUAAUGGUCGGGGUUCGCCCACGUAACGUGCUUAGGAUGCUGGCGUAAUGGCUUUAAACGACCCGUCUUGAAACACGGACCAAGGAGUCUAACAUGCCCGCGAGUGUUUGGGUGGAAAACCCGGACGCGUAAUGAAAGUGAAAGUUGAGACCUCUGUCGUGGAGGGCAUCGACGCCCGGACCAGACCUUCUGUGACGGAUCCGCGGUAGAGCGUGUAUGUUGGGACCCGAAAGAUGGUGAACUAUGCCUGAAUAGGGUGAAGCCAGAGGAAACUCUGGUGGAGGCUCGUAGCGAUUCUGACGUGCAAAUCGAUCGUCAAAUUUGGGUA